RNAcentral lists this ribosomal RNA (458 nucleotides) under uncultured bacterium. RNAcentral's name for it is "partial 16S ribosomal RNA". It matches the Rfam family "Bacterial small subunit ribosomal RNA", at positions 338 to 795 of the family's 1533-position model. The record is from RNAcentral.
CCUACGGGAGGCAGCAGUGAGGAAUAUUGGUCAAUGGGCGCGAGCCUGAACCAGCCAAGUAGCGUGAAGGAUGACUGCCCUACGGGUUGUAAACUUCUUUUAUAAAGGAAUAAAGUGAUGCACGUGUGCCUUUUUGUAUGUACUUUAUGAAUAAGGAUCGGCUAACUCCGUUCCCGCAGCCGCGUUAAUACGGAGGAUCCGAGCGUUAUCCGGCUUUAUUGGGUUAAAAGGGAGCGUAGAUGGGUUUUUAAGUAAGUUGUGAAAGUUUGCGGCCAAACCGUAAAAUUGCAAUUGAUACUGGCAGUCUUGAGUACAGUUGAGGUAGGCGGAAUUCGUGGUGUAGCGGUGAAAUGCUGAUAUCACGAAGAACUCCGAUUGCGAAGGCAGCUUACUAAACUGCCACUGACAUUGAUGCUCGAAAGUGUGGGUAUCAAACAGGAUUAGAUACCCUAGUAGUC